GACGAACGCUGGCGGCGUGCUUAACACAUGCAAGUCGAACGAAGUGGCGAACGGGUGAGUAACGCGUAAUCAACCUGCCCUUCAGGGGGGGAAAACAGUUGGAAACGACUGCUAAUACCGCAUACUGAAGGAGGGGAGUGCGUCUGAUUAGCUAGCUGGAGGGGUAACGGCCCACCAAGGCGAAGGUCAGUUGCCGGUCAUGGAGGGUGAACGGGCACAUUGGGACUGAGACACGGGCCAGAAUCCUACGGGAGGCAGCAGUGGGGAAACUUCCGCAAUGGGCGGAAGUCUGACGGAGCAACGCCGCGUGAGUGAUGACAGCCUUCGGGUUGUAAAGCUCUGUUAAUCGGGACGCGGUACCGACAUAGUAAGCCACGGCUAACUACGUGCCAGCCGCCGCGGUAAUAC
RNAcentral lists this ribosomal RNA (408 nucleotides) under uncultured bacterium. RNAcentral describes it as "partial 16S ribosomal RNA". It matches the Rfam family "Bacterial small subunit ribosomal RNA", at positions 28 to 526 of the family's 1533-position model. The record is from RNAcentral.